AAUAUUGGACAAUGGGCGAAAGCCUGAUCCAGCCAUGCCGCGUGUGUGAAGAAGGUAUUUGGAUUCUAUAGCACUGUAAGAUGGGAGGAAGGGGUUGAAGCUAAUACCUUCAACAUUUUACGUUACCAACAGAAAAAGCUCCGGCUAACCUUGUGCCAGCAGCCGCGGUAAUACAGAGGGUGCAAGCGUUAAUCGGAAUUAGUGGGCGUAAAGCGCGCGUAGGUGGUUCAGUAAGAUGGAAGUGAAAUCCCCGGGCUUAACCUGGGAACUGCUUUCAUAACUGCUGAGCUAGAGUACGGUAGAGGGUAGUGGAAUUUCCUGUGUAGCGGUGAAAUGCGUAGAUAUAGGAAGGAACAUCAGUGGCGAAGGCGACUACCUGGACUGAUACUGACACUGAGGUGCGAAAGCGUGGGGAGCAAACAGG
This 424-nucleotide ribosomal RNA is filed under the name uncultured bacterium. Its description in RNAcentral is "partial 16S ribosomal RNA". It matches the Rfam family "Bacterial small subunit ribosomal RNA", at positions 360 to 776 of the family's 1533-position model. The record is from RNAcentral.